AACGCACCUUGCGCUCCUUGGUAUUCCGAGGAGCAUGCCUGUUUGAGUGUCAUUAAAUUCUCAACCACACCAUUUGUGUUAACAAGUGAUUGCGGCUUGGAUGUUGGGGGUACAUCUGCGGGCCUCUCUAGGGGUCAGCUCCCCUAAAAUGCAUUAGCAGAACCGUUUGCGGUCAGUCACUGGUGUGAUAAUUAUCUACGCCCAAGACAAAGGCUGCUCUCGUUAGUUCCGCUUCAAAUCGUCCGUUCAUGGACAAAUUCUGAAUACUUGACCUCAAAUCAGGUAGGACUACCCGCUGAACUUAA
This 305-nucleotide unclassified non-coding RNA is filed under the name uncultured Agaricales. RNAcentral describes it as "sequence contains 5.8S rRNA gene, ITS2, 28S rRNA gene". The stretch from base 1 to 52 matches the Rfam family "5.8S ribosomal RNA", at positions 103 to 154 of the family's 154-position model. The record is from RNAcentral. Lineage: Eukaryota; Fungi; Basidiomycota; Agaricomycetes; Agaricales.